AUGGAUACUCGCUGUUGGCGAUAUACGGUCAGCGGCCAAGCGAAAGCAUUAAGUAUCCCACCUGGGGAGUACGCCGGCAACGGUGAAACUCAAAGGAAUUGACGGGGGCUCGCACAAGCGGAGGAACAUGUGGUUUAAUUCGAUGAUACGCGAGGAACCUUACCCGGGCUUAAAUUAUGCAUGAAUCAUCUGGAGACAGAUGAGCCGCAAGGCAUGUAUGAAGGUGCUGCAUGGUUGUCGUCAGCUCGUGCCGUGAGGUGUCGGCUUAAGUGCCAUAACGAGCGCAACCCUUUCUGCCA
Molecule: ribosomal RNA, 299 nt
Filed under: Bacteroides caecigallinarum
Lineage: Bacteria; Pseudomonadati; Bacteroidota; Bacteroidia; Bacteroidales; Bacteroidaceae
Description: partial 16S ribosomal RNA
Rfam family: Bacterial small subunit ribosomal RNA
Source: RNAcentral